RNAcentral lists this unclassified non-coding RNA (246 nucleotides) under uncultured fungus. RNAcentral's name for it is "sequence contains ITS2". Lineage: Eukaryota; Fungi. The record is from RNAcentral.
AACGCACAUUGCGCCCGCCAGCACUCUGGCGGGCAUGCCUGUUCGAGCGUCAUUUCAACCAUCAAGCCCCAGGCUUGCGUUGGAGCCCUGCGGCUGCCGCAGCCUCCCAAAAGCAGUGGCGGGCUCGCUAUCACACCGAGUGCAGUAGAUUACUCUUCGCUCAGGGCGUGUGGCGGGUUCCAGCCGUGAAACCCCCUACUUCUCAAGGUUGACCUCGGAUCAGGUAGGAAUACCCGCUGAACUUAA